Molecule: long non-coding RNA, 1773 nt
Organism: Rattus norvegicus (Norway rat)
Lineage: Eukaryota; Metazoa; Chordata; Mammalia; Rodentia; Muridae
Source: RefSeq, a predicted model, not a curated record
GGCAGCUCUGUGGGCUGGCCAGGUGGAGUUGAGAGCCGCCAGAUGAAACAGAGUACAGAGGAAGGAAUGACUCCGGGUCACCGGAAGUAAUACUCGGGGUCACCGGAAGUAAUACUCAGGGACACCGACAGGAAAGUAGAGUCUAGAACAGAUUGGUGUAAAUAUAAAGGCUGUGUGUGUCUUCCAUCCGGGAGUGAACGGUCAAAGGCAGGGCAGGAACCUCGGCCUGGAUUUAAUAAUUCUACAACGGACAAUGUCUAUAAGACAAUGUGACAGAUGACAAGCGCUGCAAAAGCUGUGGACUAAGUUGCUAAGAAUGACUACGCCACCAGAAAGGACCCGCCUGCACUAUCAGGAAAUCAGGGAAACAUCCUAAAUAAGAAUGAGUACCCUGCACCGAUUAGACCUUACUAAUAUUUUAGUACUGUUAGUCCUGUUUAAUUGGAAAUCAUUCUAGUUCUUCAACUGGCUCGCCAUAGUGAGUAACAACAUGACUGCCUUAUUCAAUUCACAAACUUCAGUUCAAUCUCAACCUCUCGGCACAAGGGCUGUCUUAGGAGAGUUUGCACAUUUAAAAGUCAAAACAUCAUGGAUUUAAUUAGCAAGUGUUUACUUAGAAAAAAUUCUACCUUCCCCUCGUCCAUGGGAUUAUCACUUAUAUGGACAACAGGUCCUGGGUGAGAUUUAGAUGACCUGAAAAAAAAAUGAGAUUUCUUUACUCAAGUAAAGUUUCAAUAUUCAUUACAAUAAAAAAAGAGAUUCAUUUAUGAAGAAAAUAGUCCAGUCAGUUGUCAGAGAAAACAUAGUGAAAAUCAUAUGGAUAUAAGACAGCAAGCUUUAUAAUUGCCUUAUAAUUUCUCUUUAUUAUAUUUUCAAUUUAGUUGAAACACUUAUUUUAACAUAGAAGAUCCCCUUUAGAUGUGACGUCAAUAUUUUAAAGCAAUGUGGUGUUAAUGCAAGGUAUCAGCUGGGGUAGCCCGCCCACCUCUACAGCUCAAACUGGAAGAAGAAAAACCGUUCCUUUUAUUUUAUUUUGAAAACAUGCAAAUUAAUGCUAUCUAUUCCUGUACUAGAGAAUAAAAGAAAGUAUAGGUAAAAAAUAUUACUGGAAUGGUGCCCAAACAUUUGGGAAAAAAACCAUAGCUGAAUGCUGAAGGGCUGGGAAAGGGUGCCACUUCAGACCUGUGAAGACUAUACCACCUCCAUCCACCAGAUGUCAUGAUCAACUCUAAGACCGGACUGAACCUCUGCCCCCCACACAGCCCCCAGCUUCCAAGAAAGGGUAGAGACAUCCUUGCCCCAGAAAGGAAAACUAGCUUUCAGCCCACCACAUCUGAGAACCAGGUAGCACACACAUGAUGAAAUCUACCGAAGACAAGCUUGGCUCAGGCCCUCAAGUGAUGCCAACAGGACAUUUGAGAGUGGCUGGCUAGAUCACCUGAAAGCUGGGGACAAGGGGAAGCCCUCCUGCCUCACCACACUGUGCUGCUGGCCCAGAGAAACAUGAGCAAAGAGGACACUGGGCACUGUUGCUACUUACGCCUGAGGAUGGCUUCUCAUCCAGCAGUACACAACCGAGCUACUACCAUCAAACCAAAAUAACUUUAGCUGAAAAUGAAGAUGGCAUAAAAGUCAAACAGGAAAAUGAAUUCCCUUUAAAAAUGUUAUUGAGUCUCGGCGAGUUUCAUAUCACAUACCCUACUCAUUGCCUUGUCACUCAGCCUUUGCGACCUCCCCCCAAAUAAUAAUUAAAAAAUAAAACAAAACAUAAAA